Molecule: ribosomal RNA, 329 nt
Filed under: uncultured Sphingobacteriales bacterium
Lineage: Bacteria; Pseudomonadati; Bacteroidota; Sphingobacteriia; Sphingobacteriales
Description: bacterial SSU rRNA
Rfam family: Bacterial small subunit ribosomal RNA
Source: RNAcentral
AGCGUAGGCGGGCUGUUAAGUCCGUGGUGAAAGCCCUCAGCUCAACUGAGGAACUGCCAUGGAUACUAUCAGUCUUGAAUGUCGUUGAGGUUUGCGGAAUGGGUCAUGUAGCGGUGAAAUGCAUAGAUAUGACCCGGAACACCAAUUGCGAAGGCAGCAGGCUAAACGAAUAUUGACGCUGAGGCUCGAAAGCGUGGGGAUCAAACAGGAUUAGAUACCCUGGUAGUCCACGCCCUAAACGAUGAUUACUCGACAUACGUGAUAUGACAAUGUGUGUCUGAGCGAAAGCAUUAAGUAAUCCACCUGGGAAGUACGACCGCAAGGUUGAA